UACGGGGGUGGCAAGCGUUGUUCGGAAUUACUGGGCGUAAAGGGCGCGUAGGCGGGGAGGUAAGUCGGGUGUGAAAUCCCUCGGCUCAACCGAGGAACUGCGCCCGAGACUGCCUUUCUUGAGUCCCGGAGAGGAAGGUGGAAUUCCCGGUGUAGCGGUGAAAUGUGUAGAGAUCGGGAGGAACACCGGUGGCGAAGGCGGCCUUCUGGACGGUGACUGACGCUGAGGCGCGAAGGCGUGGGGAGCAAACGGG
RNAcentral lists this ribosomal RNA (253 nucleotides) under uncultured bacterium. RNAcentral describes it as "partial 16S ribosomal RNA". It matches the Rfam family "Bacterial small subunit ribosomal RNA", at positions 524 to 776 of the family's 1533-position model. The record is from RNAcentral.